GCGCCUUUUACCAGCUUCCCUGGCAGGGGGCGGUUUCCGUCGGCGCUGCUGCUGCUGCUGCUGCUGCUGCUGUUUUCCUCGCUGUCCAGAGUUCAAGGAGCAGGUCCACAGACAACGCUUCCUCCAGACGAUACAGCAUUCAACUGAAGUUGGUGGCUUGCAGCAUUCAUAGUGAACAACACUGAAAAGAAACCCAACCCAGGAGCAGCAGGUGCCUGGUAUUGUGUCUGCCAUAGUUUGUCUCACACAGAUUCUUUCUCAAAGGAAUGGCUCCAUCAUGUGGAAGGAGACAAUCCUUCAGUUGCUGCUGCUGUUUGUAUCUUUCUCCCUCUGUCUCCUGUUAGGCAUUAGAUGCUGGUAGCAGGUGUGCCACCCAUGUGGUUCUUACAAGUUUGUUUAGAUGAAAAGGCAACCACUUAUUUUCCAUGUGGGUAGCAGGUGGUAGAUAAGGCUUCCAUCUGAGCCUCACUUAUCUGUGAAUAAGCCCCUUAGAAUUCAAGAGAGCUUACACCUGAAGAGACAUAGUUAUGAUUACUCUAUGUCUUACUGCUGCCCGUCUUGUUCCAGCUGUGCUCUGCAAAUUAACUCCCAGAGUCUAUUGGAACAUGGGCCCAUAGAUCCCAGUAAAGGAAAAUGUCAUAGAGAUUUACGAAUUAUCUACUCCACUCCAAUGAACCUUGCCUUCUCUCCUAUAGCUUCAGAACUUCCUCUGAAUUUUUAUUUCCAAGUGAUUGCACCCAUCCACAUGUAGCCAAUGCUACCCUAAGGAGCAGGGAUC
Molecule: non-coding RNA, 778 nt
Organism: Zootoca vivipara (common lizard)
Lineage: Eukaryota; Metazoa; Chordata; Lepidosauria; Squamata; Lacertidae
Source: RefSeq, a predicted model, not a curated record